This 489-nucleotide ribosomal RNA is filed under the name Cryptosporidium scrofarum. RNAcentral's name for it is "SSU rRNA". It matches the Rfam family "Eukaryotic small subunit ribosomal RNA", at positions 553 to 1083 of the family's 1831-position model. The record is from RNAcentral. Lineage: Eukaryota; Apicomplexa; Conoidasida; Eucoccidiorida; Cryptosporidiidae.
GGGCAAGUCUGGUGCCAGCAGCCGCGGUAAUUCCAGCUCCAAUAGCGUAUAUUAAAGUUGUUGCAGUUAAAAAGCUCGUAGUUGAUUUUCUGUUAAUUUUUAUGUAUAAUAUUGCGAUAUUUACAUAAUAUUAACAUAAUUCAUAUUACUUUACAGUAUGUGGAAUUUUACUUUGAGAAAAUUAGAGUGCUUAAAGCAGGCUAUUGCCUUGAAUACUCCAGCAUGGAAUAAUAUUAAGGAUUUUUAUUCUUCUUAUUGGUUCUAGAAUAAAAAUAAUGAUUAAUAGGAACAGUUGGGGGCAUUUGUAUUUAACAGUUAGAGGUGAAAUUCUUAGAUUUGUUAAAGACAAACUACUGCGAAAGCAUUUGCCAAGGAUGUUUUCAUUAAUCAAGAACGAAAGUUAGGGGAUCGAAGACGAUCAGAUACCGUCGUAGUCUUAACCAUAAACUAUGCCAACUAGAGAUUGGAGGUUGUUCCUUACUCCUUCAG